This is a non-coding RNA of Rattus norvegicus (Norway rat), 828 nucleotides long. Lineage: Eukaryota; Metazoa; Chordata; Mammalia; Rodentia; Muridae. The record is from RefSeq and is a predicted model, not a curated record.
ACCAGAACUUUCUAGAAAUCUCAAGAGGACAUGUCCUGGAUUCAGGUGGCACUGCACCACACACUCUAAAGUCACUGUGUUUGUGGGGAACAACUACAGACAUAGAUGGCACUAGGGGGUGCUCCUGUGAACCAGGGUUCCUGCCUAACCUACAGUCACAGGAAUCAAACAUGGUGCUCGGGGGGUCUCUCUGAGCCCAGAGAGACAGCCCUCACCCUAGCCCCAUGCAGUCUAUUGUUCUUAAAGAUGUUGCCCAAGCUUGGGGCAGUGCGGACUCUGCCACACAGGGCUCUGCCCUCAGCAGGACUCUGGUCAUUGCUGUCACCGGCUUGAAGUCCUUCCUUGCUUCCUUCCUUUCUAGACAGGGUCUCCUGUCCUCCAGACUGACAUCACACUCACUGUGUACUGGGGAACGGCCUUGUACUCCUGAUUCUCCUGGGAUAAGUGGUGUGAGCCACCAUGUCCGGUUUAUAUUGUUCUGAGGAGGAACCCAGGGCCUUGUGUAUGCCAGGCGUCAAAGCUCAGCCAGACCUUCCCAGGCCAAAGAUUCGCUGAGGAAAAUGCUGGUACUGGAACAGGGGCAGCCUCUCAUGGUGAAGACAUAGCCGUGUCCUGUCGUGGCUUUAAGACUGAGCUUAUACCAUGUGCAAUGGCUCAGCCUAUAAGGGUACUUUACUUUCUUCCCGAGGACCUGUGUUCAGUUUCUAGAACCCUCAGGGUGGCUCACAACCAUCUGUAACCAUCAACGGCUUUCUGCCCACAGUGCACAGACAUAGAUCAAGGCAAAGCAUUCAUACAUAUACCAAAAAUAAAUAUCAGAGACAAAAA